RNAcentral lists this long non-coding RNA (403 nucleotides) under Nicotiana benthamiana. RNAcentral describes it as "long non-coding RNA (NBEN_LNC004215)". The record is from RNAcentral. Lineage: Eukaryota; Viridiplantae; Streptophyta; Magnoliopsida; Solanales; Solanaceae.
GGAGAAGCACCUGGUAGCGCCAUCGCAAAUAUUGAAUCUACUUAAAGAAUUAGAUAUGUAUUUGCACAUCUUUCAGCAAAUCCUUCUGAUUUAACCUCUAAUAGAGAAAUCAAAUAUGUUUUUUCUUCUCGGAGCUUCUCAAAGUCCUAGCAGUCGCACAAACAUAACCAACUCUGACAUGAAGGGAUAAAUUUGCUCAAAUCAACCAAAAAAGUACAUGAGUAUCCAAAACGCCUCAACUACUCUAUUGGGAAUAGUACUAAUAUCACUUUGAAUGCAUACGAAAGUUCUUAGGUGCUAUAUAAUUCAGUUGAGAUUUAUUUAAGAAAUACGAAUGUAGUUUUCUAAUAGUGCUAGCAUAUAUAAUGGUGGAAGCACAAGAAAGAUAGGUGAGAUCCUCAAC